Girardinichthys multiradiatus is the source of this 2293-nucleotide long non-coding RNA. RefSeq lists it as uncharacterized. The transcript has 2 exons. The record is from RefSeq and is a predicted model, not a curated record. NCBI's taxonomy places the organism in Eukaryota, Metazoa, Chordata, Actinopteri, Cyprinodontiformes, Goodeidae.
GUGCAUCAGGCAGAGGAGGAGGAGGAGGCAGGGUGGUUUCUGUGUUCAAACAGCAUCUGAACUGCAGCAGCGGUGAAACUUUCACAUGUGGAGUCUGUCCGGUCUGGAGGAGUCUUCAUGAUGAGGAGGAAGAUGAGGAGGCUGAUGAUUUGAAGUAUUUCAUUAGGAAUGUUUUUGAAACCUGAGUAUGAUAUCAUCAGGGACUUUGGGUUGAUUUGGAUCGUCCUGGUGUUAUUGUACUGAUUCAUCUUCUAGAACCUGCCCUGAAACUGCUCAUUGGUCCGUCAGAUCCAGCUGCUCACCAUCAGCGUGCACUGUUCUGUGCAUGGAACGCUGUUCAUCCUGAUGUGUGGCCCUUGUCUUCGGUGCUCGCUGUCUACGAGGUGGCCCCCUGCUGUCACAUCCUGCACACAGCAGGAGUCACCUCGGAUCCGUUUUCAGUGUGGUUUUCAAUCCAGAAAUAAAAUAAGUACACCUUUUAAAGUGUUGUUAAUCUCUUGCAUUGUUUAUCUAAAACUGAGUUGUGAAGCAUGUUUUAGGAUAAAUCCCAUUUUCAAGAAAAAUAAAGCAUUUUAUAAAGUAAAGUUAUGAUCUGCUAGUUGGAAAGGUCAGCUAAUGGGUUUUAAAAAUCCUCAUAUACAAUUAAUUUUACAGCCCUAAACAGAAGUUUGCUGGUUUUACCUCAUAAAUUGGUUUGCAUCACACUCUUUUAUGUUCAAUAAAAAAACGUUUAAAACAUUUUGAAAUAUUAAUACAUUUAAAUUCAGAUUUUGAGUGGAAGUUUUAUAUAUGUUGAAGAUUUUUUUUUACUUAUUUAUUCAUGUUACUUUUUCUGUCUCUUUCAGCAGAGUUCUGGUUCUGGUAGUAAAUAAUCUGCUCUCUGUGAGGCAGUAUCGCCCCCUGGUGGAGGUCAUCAGAGACAGAACCGGCUGUGUGUUCAGGUGUGUGCACUCUGCAGUUUAACUGUAGGUGAACAGUUCAGACUGGACCUCCUGGUGGUACAGUGCCCCGUGCAGGCUUCAGAUCAGCAGGUUUGACUCAUUCAUGUGAACCUGACCUGCUGCUGAACCAUGGAGAGCCAUGUUUCACAUCUGUUUGUGAAGCCCAUCACUGUGAGCAAUCCUCCUAACAGUCCUACGUAGAGAUGUCAUUUGUUCUUAUGGCAGAAUGGGACAUUUCAUCCUGACUUUAGUUUGCUGCCACUGGGACCGCGACGCUGAUGUUCACUGAUGAUGGAACUGCUGAUCAAGGAACUCUGAGAUGGUUGGAUCUGUUCCAGUAAAUGGCUGCAAACUCAUUGGGUGGAGCUUCGUCUCAUGAUCCUAAACUAAAAAAAAACAGGACUUUUCUUACUGGAGAAAUCUGUAAAAUCCUUGUUUUCCAAGAGAAGAAGUUGAUGAAGAAGUUUCUCCUCAGAAGUGCUGCUUCAUUAACAUCAGACUGAUCGAGAGGAGGGGCCUUUACUAGUUUAUUGUAAGUUUCAGGUCUAAAAGAUGCAAGCUUCUGACAGAAAUCCUCAGACACCAGGUUCUGAGGUGUUCUUCUUGUACUGCUGCUGUUAAAUUAAAUCCUAACAUAUUCAGCUGUUUUUGAAUGUUUCCUGAUGAAGUGCCUUUGAGCAACUGACUGCUGCCAGGUGUUGCCACUGCUGCCAUAACCUCAUGUGUUAAAUUGGGUUUCUCAGGUUCCUGGUUAGUGAAAACAAAGAGUUUUUCUUCAUUUAAGACUUUCAGCUGCCGUGUUUAGUCUCCCAGGUGUUCAAUUUAGUCUGGUUUAUCAGGGUCCUGCUGGCUUCUUUAAUUUGAAUCUCACAGACGGAUUUUAAAUUAAAAUCUGUGAAUGUGGACCCAAUUGGUUCUUCCUGCAGCUUCCUUCAUUUUGAACUUUAAACUUCUCCAAAACCACAUCACCCAGGCUGUUUGUUCCUCAGCAUUCCUUUUCGGAGCUGCUUGUUAUUUCUCUGUUUUGCUGUAAACAUGGUGGCCCGGCUUGAUGCCUCCUGAACAUCCACCUUCAGCCAGAGAACAUCGGAUCAGGAUGUAAAUUCACUCCGACUGUCAGACUGGGAACAACAGCUCCGAUAAGCUUUAAAAACACCCGGGGGUCGGGCAGCAGGAGGAGCAGGGAUUAUCCAAAACUGGCCCUAGGGGGUCUAGCUUCUGCACUCAGCCAGAUCGGACCUUCAGGGCCCUGGGUGCAGAGUGACAGGGUCCCCAGGGGCCUGGUGACCCCCUCAGGACGGAGAUUACAGGGUGGGACUGCAGCUUGUAUCUCUCAUCCUGGAUGUUAAGAU